GUGCUGGCUUUGGCAGUGCAUAUACUAAAAUUGGAAUGAUACAGAGAAGAUUAGGAUGGCCCCUGUGCAAGGAUGACAUGUAAAUUCGUGAAGUGUUUCAAAAUUUU
Molecule: small nuclear RNA, 107 nt
Filed under: Marmota marmota marmota (Alpine marmot)
Lineage: Eukaryota; Metazoa; Chordata; Mammalia; Rodentia; Sciuridae
Source: RNAcentral